RNA transcript from Pyrgilauda ruficollis (rufous-necked snowfinch), 3965 nucleotides. It is a transcript of the gene named integrin subunit alpha 2b, with no coding region annotated. The record is from RefSeq and is a predicted model, not a curated record. The transcript has 35 exons. NCBI's taxonomy places the organism in Eukaryota, Metazoa, Chordata, Aves, Passeriformes, Passeridae.
GCCAGGGACGGCGGCUGUGGCCUCAUUUUGGGGUGACGAUGGGGCUCCUGCGGGUGCUGCUGCUCCUCGGGGGGCUGCGCCUGCCCCCCACGCUGGGGCUUCUCCAGGAGCCCCCCACCAUCUACGAGGGACCCCCCGGCAGCUAUUUCGGUUUCGCCCUGGAUUUCCACAUGAGCGAGGGAAGGCCUAGCGUGGCGGUGGGGGCCCCCCGUGCCAACACCUCGCAGCCCGGCGUGGCUCAGCCCGGCGCCGUCUUCCUGUGCUCCUGGCCCCCCGACAAGACCCCCUGCCACCCCCUGUCCAUCGACACUGCGGGGGACGAGAGCGAGAGUCAGGGCACCUUGGAGUUCCACACCUACAAGUCGCACCAGUGGCUGGGAGCGUCCGUCACCAGCUGGGACGGCAAACUGGUGGUCUGUGCCCCGCUGCAGCACUGGAACGCUUUGGAGGGGCAGCACGAGGCGUUCCGCACCCCGACGGGCACCUGCUUCGUGCGGAGCCCGGGGCAGCGGAGCGCGGUGUGGUACUCGCCCUGCCGAGACCAGACCAUGGCCAGCACCUACCGCCAGACGAACUACGUGCACGACAAGCGCUACUGCGAGAUCGGCUUCAGCGCCGCCGUCACCCCGGAUGGGACGCUGGUACUGGGUGCCCCCGGCGGGUACUACUUCACAGGGCUCGUGUACUCGGUGGAGCUGGACAAGAUCCUCAGGCGCUUCCUCGGCACGUCCCUGCUGUGGCUGGGGAGCCCCGGGCGCCCCACGGAGCCGGUGUCUGGGGACUACGAGGACGGGUACCGGGGAUACUCGGUGGCUGUGGGCGAGUUUGAUGGCAACCCCAAAACCAAAGAGUACGUGGUGGGGGUCCCCAACAAGAGCAACACGAGGGGUGAGGUGGAGAUCUUCACUGCGGGGGACACCCUGCGCUGGCUGCGGGGCAUCGCCAGCGAGCAGGUGGCUUCGUACUUCGGGCACACGGUGGCAGUGGCCGAUGUCGAUGGGGACGGGCGGGAUGACCUGCUGGUGGGUGCGCCCCUGUACAUGGCCCGGCGCUCCGACGGGCAGCGCAGCGAGCUGGGGCGCCUCUACCUCUACCUGGGGCGGGGACAGCAGCCCCUCGCCGGGCCCCCCCAGACCCUGACGGGGACCCACCCCUACGGCCGCUUCGCCGCCGCCAUCGCCAGCCUCGGGGACCUGGACAAGGACGGCUUCGGCGACGUGGCCGUGGGCGCCCCGCAGGGCGGUGACAGUGGCAGCGGGCAGGUCUUCAUCUUCCGCGGGCAGAGCGAGGGGCUGGCGCCGGUGCCCAUCCAGCGCCUCGACAGCCCCUUCCCCGGCCCCGCCGCCUUCGGCUUCGCGCUGCGUGGUGCCGCCGACCUGGACGGCAACGGCUACGCGGAUCUGCUCGUGGGGGCUUACGGGGCGGCCAAGGUGGCCGUGUACCAGGGACUGCCCGUGGUGGUGGCCCGGACCCAGCUGAGUGUCCCCGACGGGCUGAACCCUGAGAUCCUGGACUGUGUCCUGCCCGACUCCAGCGUCCGUGUCAGCUGCUUCCACGUGGUGUUUUGUGUCAGCGUGACGGGCCAGCACAUCCCUCAGAGCAUCCAGCUGGAGGCUGAGCUGCAGCUGGACCGGCUGAAGCCCCGGCCAUCGCGGAGGGUCCUGCUGCUGCAGGGACACCAAUCGUCCUGGCAGGGGGAGCUGCUGGUGGCACCGGGGACACCCCCUGUGUGCAGCAACCUCACCGCCUACCUGCGGGACGAGGCCGAGUUCAAGGACAAGCUGAGCCCGGUGGCCCUGAGCGUGGCCCUGACGCUGCCCAGAGUGGCCCCGGGAUUGGUGCUGUACGGGGACACCCUGGUGCAGGCACAGACCCACAUUAUCCUGGAGGACUGUGGCGAUGACAACCUCUGCGUGCCCGACCUGCGCCUGGCUGCUGACACCCCCAGCCAGCGCCUGCUGAUCGGGGCGGAGGCCGUGCUGUCCCUGCGUGCCAACGCCACCAACGCGGGCGAGGGCGCCUUCGAGGCCGAGCUGAGGGUGCAGCUGCCCCCUGGCACGCACUACCAGGCUGCCCGCAGCACCAUCCCGGGGCAGAACAAGCUGAGCUGCAACCCCAAGAAGGAGAAUGGGACCCACGUGGUGCUCUGUGAGUUGGGCAAUCCCAUGAAAGCAGGAGCCCGGAUCACCGUGGACAUGGAGCUGAGCGUGUCUGGGCUGGAGGACAUGGGGGAUGCCAUCACCUUCCACCUCCAGCUAUGGAGCAAGAACAGCCCCAGCCACGCAUCGGUGACGGUGCCGGUGCCCGUGGAGGCAGAGGCAGAGAUGAGGCUGCGAGGCAACUCCCUGCCUGCCACCAUGGUGCUGCCCACGAGCUGGCACAGGGUGGAGGGCAGCCGGCGACUCGAGGACCACGGCAUCAGGGUGGAGCACGUCUAUGAGCUCCACAACAAAGGUCCGGGCACCGUCAGCGGGGUCACCCUGAGCCUCGCCGUCCCCCACCUGCUGGGCGACCACGUCCUGCUCUACCUGCUGGAGCUGGGCACCGAGGGGGGCAUGAACUGCUCCCACCACCGCGCCCUCAACCCCGCCCAGCUGGAGAUCUCCGCUUCGACGGCCGCAGCGCCCGGGAACGGCACCCACCAGCGGGAGCGCCGGGAGGCGGAGCCGCCCCCGAGAGCCGGGCUGGGGAACGAGGGGCUGGGGGACCUCGUCCGUGUGGACUGUGACAAUGCCACGUGCGUGAACAUCACCUGCCACGUGCCCAGCCUGGGCAAGGACCAGCGGGCACUGGUCAGCAUCCACGCCCUGCUCUGGAUGGACACCCUGCAGCAGCGGGAGCACCUCCUGACGCAGUUUCGCAUCCAGUCACAAGCGUGGUUCAACACCUCGGCCAUGCCCUACCGCGUCCAGCCCCGGGUCCUGCCUGCCGGCAAGGCUGAGACUGAAACCUCCGUGGUGCGAGCCAGCCCUGGGGGCGAGGGGGCUGUGCCGGUGUGGUGGGUGGUGCUGGGGGUCCUGGCCGGGCUCCUGCUCCUCACCCUCCUCAUCCUCCUCAUGUGGAAGAGGUGCUGCUGCGGGUGCAGGUGUUCGAGAGCGGCACGCUGGCCCCGCUGCCGCAGGCGGCCCUGGACGUGUUCGGCGCCCGCAGCGCGCUGGCCGCGGGGAGCACGGACCACUCGGGCACCGCCGUCCUGCCCGUGCCCUACCGCCUGGGCUCCUGGCUGCUCGUCACCGCCGCACGCCGCGGAUACGUCACCGCCUCUGUCCCCUGGCGUGUCACCAAACUGCCACUCUACGCCUCCAUCAGCCUCUACCUGCUCCCAGAGCGCCCGGCCACGCUUAUCCUCUACGAGGACCUGGUCCAGAUCCUCCUGGGAUCCCCAGGUGGCCGUGGGCAGCCGUGGGCACAGUUCCCCCGGCGGGCAGCGCGCCUGCCCCGCAGCUCCACUUACAGCCAGCUCGCCGCGUCCCUCACCGCCGCCUCCGGCCCCAGCCUGGCCCGCGCCUUCCCCGCCUUCCUCGGGGCCGAGCAGGACGGCAGCGCCAAUGGCACGUGGCUGGAGCUGGCGCCGGUGGCGGCUGUCAGCGUCCACCUGUUCACCGGCAACGGGACCGAGGUGCCGCUGGCCGGCCCCGUCCAUCUGUCCGUCCCUCUGGCCCCCGACGCCGCGGCCGUGGUUGCCACCAGUGUGCCAGCCUGGAGGUUUGACCCCAAGAGCGGGCUGUGGGUCCGGAACGGGACGGGGCUGAUCCGGAAGGAAGGCCGGCAGCUGUACUGGACGUUCGUCUCCUCCCAGCUGGGAUACUGGGCAGCAGCUCUGCCCUCCCCCAGCACGGGUCUGGUGGCGAUGGCAGCGGGUGUGACAGACAUCACCACCUACCACACCAUCUUCCUCCUCACCAUCCUGGGUGCCCUGGCCCUGCUCGUCCUCAUCCUCCUCUGCCUCCUCAUCUACUACUGCA